RNAcentral lists this ribosomal RNA (401 nucleotides) under uncultured Thiobacillus sp. Its description in RNAcentral is "bacterial SSU rRNA". It matches the Rfam family "Bacterial small subunit ribosomal RNA", at positions 973 to 1382 of the family's 1533-position model. The record is from RNAcentral. Lineage: Bacteria; Pseudomonadati; Pseudomonadota; Betaproteobacteria; Nitrosomonadales; Thiobacillaceae.
ACCCUUUGACAUGUCCGGAACUUGCCAGUAGAUGGCUUGGUGCCCGAAAGGGAAUCGGAACACAGGUGCUGCAUGGCUGUCGUCAGCUCGUGUCGUGAGAUGUUGGGUUAAGUCCCGCAACGAGCGCAACCCUUAUCAUUAGUUGCUACGCAAGGGCACUCUAAUGAGACUGCCGGUGACAAACCGGAGGAAGUGGGGAUGACGUCAAGUCCUCAUGGCCCUUAUGGUAGGGCUUCACACGUCAUACAAUGGUCGGUACAGAGGGUUGCCAAGCCGCGAGGCGGAGCCAAUCCCACAAAGCCGAUCGUAGUCCGGAUUGUUCUCUGCAACUCGAGAGCAUGAAGUCGGAAUCGCUAGUAAUCGCAGGUCAGCAUACUGCGGUGAAUACGUUCCCGGGUCUU